AUGGGUAAUUCAAGAAGCAAGGCGGUUGAUCAGCAAACAGAAGAGGAUGUUACUACGGGCCUUACCAGCUCUACAAUAGUUGAAGAUAACAAUGCAAGCGUCUUACCCAGGUCUCAAAAUGUUGGGGAAAACUCAACGGUGGUUCCAAAUCCAUCGUUGUCUCUUUCGGACGGAGAUCAAAAUGUGGAUACCUUCACAACUCCUAAUCUACAUAAUUUGGAAAUUAACAAAUAUGUUAACGGCGGUGAACCUCCAAACGAAGAUAUCGAUGUUGCGACAAAGCUAACAGACGACAUCAGGUCCAUCGAUCGAAUCCAUAUAUCAAAUGAACAAUUGAACACAGAAAGGCCUGCAGCUUAUCAUAAGGAACCAGUCCAAUAUGAUGUUCAACAGACAUCAUAUCCGAAACCUGAUCAUCUGAAACUUAACAACGCGUGGAGGCGGGAAUCUUAUCGCAUUUGGUCGACACAGGGUUUGAUAAAAAAACAAGUCGAUAGCCAUAUGCUUCAACGUCGUACGCUAGGUGAUAUCAUGAAUGUUCGUCAACCUAAUCGUGUGAACUCGGCAGAUAACUUGAAUGUCACUAAAGAAAAUACGGCAAUAACGGAAGAAGAACGCAAAAGAGAACAUAGAAACGCCCUGAGGAGAGCUUCUUAUCGGAGGAAAAAGGAACGGGGUCUCCAAGAAGGUAAACUCCGGACCCAUCCUAGCUCCGCCCAUACAACGUUAUCGCUGUCUGACACAGCAUUUACUGUUACAACUACGGAGACAUCCGGUCUGGUUAACGACAAUGAUCUACAUGACGUUGAGGAGACUAUACUUGAAGAAACUUGUCAUAUAAACGAGGAAGAUCGCAAGAGAGAUCAUAGAAAUGCACUAAGGAGAGCAGCUUAUCGGAGGAAAAAGGAAAAGAUGAUAGCAGACGAAAAUAUAAGUGCAAUAUCUAAUUCAGACUUAUUGCAUGAUGAUGCAACAUUACCCCCUAAGUCAUUAGACGCCUCCGUUCUUACCCAUGACAACGACCUAGCUAAGAGGAUACAGGGAAACUCUCGUAGCCAAGCAUGUUAUCAGAAGCAAAAUGUAGAACGGACAGUUGAGGAUAGAGAGGAUUUGAAUGGAAAUGUACGAGGGAAGCGCGUGCAGCGCCGCAAAAGCAUGUCGGAGAUUGACAUGGGGCAGUCAAGUGCUCAAAGGAAGGCCAGUUAUGCUAAAAGGAAAAACACCCCGUGCAAAGAAUCCCUCGCACUCCCACGUCCAGACAUUACUAACCUAAUAUCUGAUAGUCUCGCAAUUCCCCUUUCUCGGUCUGCCGAAGUUGAUUCAUCAGAUGGUGACCCUCCUCCUGUCAUGCCGAAUUACGGUGUUUGCACCAAUGACGACAUCGAUGUGUUAGCUGCGCCCAUCAUGGGCGAUGAGCCGACACCAGCCGAAUUGAUGGAUGAGGAGUACUACAUGUAUCGCGGCCAAGGAUCGGAUAAUGACACGUUCGAGGGUGACGAGGAAACGAGCAUGUCGUCUGUUAUACCUAGCGAGGUUGAUCCAUUAGACUGUGUGUACACAAACAUACCAGACAAGACCCACAUCCUGAAGCUCGAUGGAAACUGCACACACUGCAAUGCCAGAAAGUUUGUGUCUGAGACUGACAGAUUCUGCUGUCGCAAUGGACAGAUCGAGCUUAAACAGCCGGAACCAAUCCCAGAGCUUAUGAGGCUAUGGUCCAGCAUGGAUGCCGAUUCUAGACAUUUUCGUGAGAACAUACGGUUCUUCAAUGAGCAUUUCGCCUUCACAACCCUUGGCGUCAGCCUUGAUGAGAACUACACAAACAUGAAGUCUGGUGUGUACACAUUCCGGGCACACGGAACCAUCUAUCACAAUGUGCAUUCGUUUGGGCCUAGCUCACGUCCAGAACAUUUGCAGUUGUACUUCUAUGAUGAUGACCCAACCUUAACUCAUCGUAAGGCGGCCACAAAGCAAUUAGACCAAGAUGUUGUGAAGAAGAUAGUAGACAUACUUAAAGAAAACCCAUACUCCCAGCAAUUUAGGAGUUUGGGUGCGCACAAGGACAACCUUGAUGAUUAUAGGAUUAACCUAAACACCGAUAAGAGGCUAGACCAAAGAGUGUAUAAUAGACCAUUGUCAUCUGAGGUUGCUGCAAUUUGGGUUGAGGGCACCGACCUGGCAAAAAGGUUUGACAGGAGGAUAACACUUUAUGGCAACAACAAUGAAAGGCAUAGUAUACGCGUGUCAUCCGGAGCAUAUGACCCGUUGUCUUAUCCCCUAUUCUAUCCAAGGGGGGAAUUAGGUUGGCAUCCGAAACUACCUAAACGUAAUGUUCCUUGGGAGGCUGUACUACAUCCUCAACUGGUCCUUGAUGAUGAUGAUGAUGAUGAUGCAGAGGGUAAUAGCAGGUUGUGCGUCUCCGUCAGAGACUACUACUGUUAUAUGCUGCAAACACGACCUGCAAUCUUCAACCCUAUACUCUGUUGA
This 2487-nucleotide ribosomal RNA is filed under the name Triticum aestivum (bread wheat). Its description in RNAcentral is "partial small subunit ribosomal RNA". The record is from RNAcentral. Lineage: Eukaryota; Viridiplantae; Streptophyta; Magnoliopsida; Poales; Poaceae.